UACGUAGGGGGCGAGCGUUAAUCGGAAUUACUGGGCGUAAAGCGUGCGCAGGCGGUUCUCCAAGUCCGUUGUGAAAGCCCCGGGCUCAACCUGGGAAUGGCAGUGGAAACUAGGGGACUGGAAUCUGGCAGAGGGGGGUGGAAUGCCGCGUGUAGCAGUGAAAUGCGUAGAGAUGCGGCGGAACACCGAUGGCGAAGGCAGCCCCCUGGGCUGAGAUUGACGCUCAGGCACGAAAGCGUGGGGAGCGAACGGG
Molecule: ribosomal RNA, 253 nt
Filed under: uncultured bacterium
Lineage: Bacteria
Description: partial 16S ribosomal RNA
Rfam family: Bacterial small subunit ribosomal RNA
Source: RNAcentral